Molecule: ribosomal RNA, 107 nt
Filed under: Castor canadensis (American beaver)
Lineage: Eukaryota; Metazoa; Chordata; Mammalia; Rodentia; Castoridae
Source: RNAcentral
GUCUAAGGCCAUAGCAGUGAACGCGCUCAAUCUCAUCUGGUCUCAAAAGCUAAACAGGGUCAGGCCUGGUUAGUACUUGAAUGAGAGAUAGAUUUUCAGAAGAGACU